GAGUUUGAUCCUGGCUCAGGACGAACGCUGGCGGUGCGCCUUAUGCAUGCAAGUCGAGCGAAGCUUUUCAGUAGUUUACUACAGAAAAUGACUGAGCGGCGAACGGGUGAGUAACGCGUGAGCAAUCUACCUUAGUUACAGGGAUAGCCCGAGGAAACUCGGAUUAAUACCUGAUAUUCUUUAUUUCUCGCAUGAGAAUAAAAGGAAAGGUCAGCCGAACUAAGAUGAGCUCGCGUUCUAUCAGCUAGUUGGUGAGGUAAAAGCUUACCAAGGCUACGACGGAUAGCUGGUCUGAGAGGACGAUCAGCCACACUGGGACUGAGACACGGCCCAGACUCCUACGGGAGGCUGCAGCAGGGAAUAUUGUGCAAUGAACGAAAGUUUGACACAGCGACACCGCGUGUGGGAUGACGGAUCUAGGUUUGUAAACCACUUUCAGGAGGGAAGAAAAUGACGGUACCUCCACAAGAAGCCCCGGCCAACUACGUGCCAGCAGCCGCGGUAAUACGUAGGGGGCGAGCGUUGUCCGGAUUUAUUGGGCGUAAAGAGCUCGUAGGCGGUUCAACAAGUCGGUAGUAAAAGUUCAGGGCUCAACCCUGAAAUGUCUAUCGAUACUGUUGUGACUAGGAUACGGCAGAGGUGAGUGGAAUUCCGAGUGUAGCGGUGAAAUGCGUAGAUAUUCGGAGGAACACCAAUUGCGAAGGCAGCUCACUGGGCCGCUAUCGACGCUGAGGAGCGAAAGCUAGGGGAGCAAACAGGAUUAGAUACCCUGGUAGUCCUAGCUGUAAACGAUGGAUACUAGACGUAGGAACUGGAUUGACGGUUUCUGUGUCGUAGCUAACGCGUUAAGUAUCCCGCCUGGGGAGUACGGUCGCAAGACUAAAACUCAAAGGAAUGACGGGACCCCGCACAAGCGGCGGAGCAUGCGGCUUAAUUCGAUGAUACCCGUAGAACCUUACCUGGACUUGACAUAUAGGGUCAAGCUAUAGAGAUAUAGUGUGCAUUAGCGCCCUAUACAGGUGGUGCAUGGCUGUCGUCAUCUCGUGUCGUGAGAUGUUGGGUUAAGUCCCGCAACGAGCGCAACCCCUGCCCUAUGUUGCCAGCAUUUAGUUGGGGACUCAUAGGAGACUGCCGGUGAUAAGCCGGAGGAAGGUGGGGACGACGUCAAGUCAUCAUGCCCCUUAUGUCCAGGGCUGCACGCAUGCUACAAUGGCAAGUACAACGAGUCGCAAUACCGCGAGGUGGAGCAAAUCUCUCAAAGCUUGUCUCAGUUCGGAUAGGAGUCUGCAACUCGACUCCUUGAAGUUGGAGUCGCUAGUAAUCGCAAAUCAGCAAAGUUGCGGUGAAUACGUUCUCGGGGUUUGUACUCACCGCCCGUC
RNAcentral lists this ribosomal RNA (1379 nucleotides) under uncultured marine bacterium. RNAcentral describes it as "bacterial SSU rRNA". It matches the Rfam family "Bacterial small subunit ribosomal RNA". The record is from RNAcentral.